Molecule: small RNA, 478 nt
Filed under: Pan troglodytes (chimpanzee)
Lineage: Eukaryota; Metazoa; Chordata; Mammalia; Primates; Hominidae
Description: retained intron
Source: RNAcentral
UGGUUUGAAGUGGUGAACAUGGAUUUUUCUCGGCUUCACAUGUACAGUCCUCCCCAGUGUGUGCCGGAGAACACGGGCUACACGUAUGCGCUCAGUUCCAGCUAUUCUUCAGAUGCUCUGGAUUUUGAGACGGAGCACAAAUUGGACCCUGUAUUUGAUUCUCCACGGAUGUCCCGCCGUAGUUUGCGCCUGGCCACGACAGCAUGCACCCUGGGGGAUGGUGAGGCUGUGGGUGCCAACAGCGGCACCAGCAGCGCUGUCUCCCUGAAGAACCGAGCGGCCAGGUGAGCACCACUGCACUUCCUCUCCAUCUGAUCUCUAACACCAGUUAAAACCAAGCUUCCAUACUUUUUGGUCUGUAAAGCCACACCCUGUCUCGAGCUUAAGGAUAUGUGUGUGUAUGUGCGUGUACAGACACACAAACCUGCCAUAUAAAGUGGUAGCUUGCUGCAAAUAAAGACUGAAAGGAACUCUGGAA